GAAGCGAGAGAACGUUGCCGCUGGCAAUGGCCCGAAGGCGAGGCGCUUUAGCGCCGAGUAAUCCUUCCCCCACCACUC
This 78-nucleotide small RNA is filed under the name Klebsiella pneumoniae. RNAcentral describes it as "partial RtT sRNA". It matches the Rfam family "RtT RNA", at positions 54 to 130 of the family's 130-position model. Rfam says of the family: This family represents a bacterial cis-regulatory element known as RtT RNA. Lineage: Bacteria; Pseudomonadati; Pseudomonadota; Gammaproteobacteria; Enterobacterales; Enterobacteriaceae. The record is from RNAcentral.